RNAcentral lists this ribosomal RNA (703 nucleotides) under Campeiostachys dahurica. Its description in RNAcentral is "eukaryotic LSU rRNA". The stretch from base 270 to 425 matches the Rfam family "5.8S ribosomal RNA". Lineage: Eukaryota; Viridiplantae; Streptophyta; Magnoliopsida; Poales; Poaceae. The record is from RNAcentral.
UCGUAACAAGGUUUCCGUAGGUGAACCUGCGGAAGGAUCAUUGUCGUGACCCUGACCAAAACAGACCGCGCACGCGUCAUCCAAUCCGUCGGUGACGGCAUCGUCCGUCGCUCGGCCAAUGCCUCGACCACCUCCCCUCCUCGGAGUGGGUGGGGGCUCGGGGUAAAAGAACCCACGGCGCCGAAGGCGUCAAGGAACACUGUGCCUAACCCGGGGGCAUGGCUAGCUUGCUAGCCAUCCCUCGUGUUGCAAAGCUAUUUAAUCCACACGACUCUCGGCAACGGAUAUCUCGGCUCUCGCAUCGAUGAAGAACGUAGCGAAAUGCGAUACCUGGUGUGAAUUGCAGAAUCCCGCGAACCAUCGAGUCUUUGAACGCAAGUUGCGCCCGAGGCCACUCGGCCGAGGGCACGCCUGCCUGGGCGUCACGCCAAAACACGCUCCCAACACCCCUCAUCGGGAAUCGGGAUGCGGCAUCUGGUCCCUCGUCUCGCAAGGGGCGGUGGACCGAAGAUCGGGCUGCCGGCAUACCGCGCCGGACACAGCGCAUGGUGGGCGUCCUCGCUUUAUCAACGCAGUGCAUCCGACGCGCAGCCGGCACGAUGGCCUCAAAACGACCCAGCAAACGAAGCGCACGUCGCUUCGACCGCGACCCCAGGUCAGGCGGGACUACCCGCUGAGUUUAAGCAUAUCAAUAAGCGGAGGA